UGAACGCUGGCGGCAUGGCUAAAACAUGCAAGUCGUGGGAGAAGCACUUCGGGUGUGGACACCGGCGAAAGGGCGAGUAACGCGAUCGAACGUACCCCGAGGUGGGGGAUAGCGUCGGGAAACCGGCGGUAAUACCCCAUGUGCUCUACUGAGGAAAGCUCCGGCGCCUUGGGAGCGGCGAUCGUCCUAUCAGGUUGUUGGUGAGGUAACGGCUCACCAAGCCGAAGACGGGUAGCGGGUGUGAGAGCAUGACCCGCCGCAUCGGGACUGAGACACUGCCCGGACUCCUACGGGAGGCUGCAGUAACGAAUCUUCCGCAAUGCACGCAAGUGUGACGGAGCAAUGCCGCGUGUGGGAUGAAGCGGUUCCGCCGUGUAAACCACUGUCAGGGUCUAGGAAGAACUGACCAGACCCAGAGGAAGGGCCGGCUAAUCUCGUGCCAGCAGCCGCGGUAAGACGAGAGGCCCAAGCGUUAGGCGGAUUCACUGGGCUUAAAGGGUGCGUAGGCGGAUUGGCAAGCAUCUCGUGAAAACCCUCGGCUCAACCGAGGAAUUGCGGGGUGAACUGCCUGUCUUGAGGAAGGCAGAGGCUGUCGGAACGUUCGGUGGAGCGGUGAAAUGCGUAGAUAUCGAACGGAACGCCAAAGGGGUAGCCAGGCAGCUGGGCCUUACCUGACGCUGAGGCACGAAAGCGUGGGGAUCAAACAGGAUUAGAUACCCUGGUAGUCCACGCCGUAAACGAUGUGCACUAGCUCGAUGCAGAUCUGACUCUGUGUCGGGCGCCGAGAAAUCAUUAAGUGC
This 800-nucleotide ribosomal RNA is filed under the name uncultured organism. RNAcentral's name for it is "bacterial SSU rRNA". It matches the Rfam family "Bacterial small subunit ribosomal RNA", at positions 30 to 867 of the family's 1533-position model. The record is from RNAcentral.